Thunnus maccoyii (southern bluefin tuna) is the source of this 3223-nucleotide long non-coding RNA. RefSeq lists it as uncharacterized. The transcript is spliced from 2 exons. The record is from RefSeq and is a predicted model, not a curated record. NCBI's taxonomy places the organism in Eukaryota, Metazoa, Chordata, Actinopteri, Scombriformes, Scombridae.
GAUCCUUUAUGGGCUGAAUGCUUUCUUUGUAUUUGACAGUGACAGGUUACAGUCUGGCAACAUUCAGGACAUCCAGGGUUAAUUUUGAAGCUGCGUUAAAGGAGAAUCGUUCUCUCAGUGUGGAGGGGAAAGCCUCUUUCACACUGAGUGAUACAGAAAAAUCCCUGGUCAAAAAUCUGUCCUGCCAAUUUUAUGGGGACUUUAUCCUUGAAAGCAACCCAACAACUUUUGAAGAGUCGGUGAAGACCCGCCAGCAACUUCCAAGACUACUGCAUUAAAAGUGAAGGGAGAUCUGUUCCAAUGAAACUCUGGGAGGCCAUUAAAGAAUUUGGAUUCCAAGGCUGCAGAGCUGAAAAGUGACAUCUGCACUGGACUCAUCAGAAAAGCUGAAAAAGGCCCUAGAAGAUGUGAGGGGAAAUAGAAAUGAGAUGCAAUGAUCCUCUGGAAUAAAAAAAUGGUAGGGAAAUUCUCACAGAUCAAGAAAAAAGAUAAGCAGUUUCAAAAAGUCUGUGCAAUGAUGACGCAUCUGAACUCCAGGAAACCAUGAAAGAGAAAGUUCCUUCUAUCGGAGCAAGGUGAAGAAGAUGAAAGCUUGGUGGAAAAACUCUUUGAUGAUAAGAGACGAGUCACCAUUGAGUCAUGAAAGAUUAAGCGAGUGGAUGUCUGAUAAAGAGAGAGAAAUUAAUGUCAUUAGGAGCUGUGUGGGGUUUAAAGGAGAAUAUAAACAUCGUUGGAUGCAAAGGUUCUUGCUCCAGGUGUAGAGCACUCUGUGCUUCACUUUCACCUCCCUGGGAACUGCUGAACCCUUCCUUAAUGAGUUGAGCAACAACCUACAUUCACACGACUUAAAAAGGCCCGAGAUCGUCACUCAAACAACACAGCGCGUCUUUUCAAAGCCCUGAAGAGCAGCAGAGUCUCUUUCUUUACAGCAGCUUUAGAAAAUGAGAAAAUACAAGAGGAAGCAUCUACCAUUUCACAGCCUGACCUCCUUCCUGUGGAGACCAUAAGUGACAACAGUGAUCUCAUCUGGUUUAAAUGCCUGUGAUCUCACGCUGGACCCAAACACAACAAAUGGCUACCUCGCUCUUCCUGAGGGAAACAAAAAGGCGACAUGUGGAGAUUGGCAGACCCAGAGAGAGGUUUGACUGUCCUCCUCAGGCGCUGGGCAGAGAGGGGCCCUGACUGGGCGUUGUUACUGGGAAGUACAGUUGAGUGAGGGUUAUUUAAAUGGUGUAGGUGUUAUAUAUAUGAAGGAACUGCCAAGAAAGGAGAUAAUCUGCUUACUGGGCUUGGAUCUAACCCCAUAUCCUGGUAUUUUGGCAAAAAAACCAAUUACCUCUCUGGAACAACCGACCGAGUCCGUUCCCCCUGCUGGCUGCAAACCAGUUGGAGUAUAUCUGGACUGGCUUAACUGGACUCCCCUAACGUUAACACAAUCAGUCAGCUCUGCACCUUCUGCACCAAAUUCACUGAGAGUGUUUUCUAUGUGUUUCUAUGCUGCUUUGUGUCCAGUAGUGUAGGAACAUGAUAUUUAUGACGAGUUCAGCAGACUAACCCAUCGUUAUGCACAGUUUGUGUUUGCAGUAUAUAGAUUUUACCAAUCUUUAAGGCUUUUACACAGUUCUGCAGGUCAACAGCAGCAAAUACAUAAGCACUCAAAUCAGAUAUCUAUUUAAGUCCCUCAAUCUGAACUAUUGUAGCAACACACAGAGCAGGACACAAGUUCCUGACAAUCACUGACACACACUGAUUGUCACCAUAUUACAGAGUGUCAUUAAACUUAAGAGAACAAUCCUGCUUUUGUAUCAGUGAUCUGUGAGUUCCGCACCAUCCCCGUAAACCCAUAUCAAUAUUGAUUCUGUUUACUUUUCAACCAGGUUUGUGCUCAAAUAUACAAAACAAACAACGAAACUACAAGGACCUCCGCAGGAUUAAUUUUGUCCAGUACAAAUCCUUGUAUAAUCAUAGAAAAGCCCAACAAACACGAUGCAUUGACACUCAGUUUUAAGUUUCAUUGCAUGGCGUUUUAUCUUAUAGGUCUUUUCUUUUAAAUUAACAUUUAGGGCUUUAAAUUUCAACUUGAAUCACUGCAUUUUAUCUCUUAUAUGAGAGACAACUUGGUGGCUGAAGCUGCUUUGUUGUUUGCUCACAUUUAUUAUCCGUUAUAUGAUUUUUAGAUACUGCUUCGUGGUAUAUGGGACAUUAUGUCACCAUAACACCAUCUACAGAAUAUCUGACAUGUAAUCAAAUGUUUUAGAGCAACAUGCUGCACAUGCUUUAAAUGUUAAUGAGAAAAACUGCUUUUCUUUCAGUUACUCUAAUUUUUAAUGCUGAUCCAUCAUUCUAUAAUCACUUUGUCAGGAGGGGUAUGGACAUUAAAUUGUUGAAUAUGUUCUGUUUUUAAUAUAAUAUACAUCUUGAUAAUUAUGGUAAACAUUCGGUAGCUAAAAUUCUAAGAAAUUAUUUUAAAAUUUUUCUUAUUUGUGUGUUCAUGAGACUCAAUUUAUUGUUGUGAAGUUUGGGCUAAAACAAACAAAAAAAAGAGUAUACAGCCAUGCUAGCAGCUCUGUGUGGCUGUACCCAGUCACAGCACUGUGCUAAAUGCUAACAUCAGCAUGCUAACAUGCUAAACAGGUAUAUAUCUACACACACAUAUAUGUAUAUAUAUAUAUAUAUAUACGCAUUGUGAAUCAUGUCAUUAUUUGAAAUAUCCAAACUUCUGUAAAUAUAUGGACACCAUAGUUUCUGGAGGGCAGAGUAGUGUUGUGGUUCUCACGCCGGCCUCACACAAGGUAAACAGUAUAUGUUCAAUUUUGAUUUUCACUGUAUUUUCCCUUCAAAAAAUCAUGAGUAGAAUGUUUUUUCACGCACAAAAAUGAGUAAUUGGAAAAUUGGUCCUAAGCCUGUUCUGUUCAACUUUGUGAUUUAUUUGGUGUCAUUUUUAAACAGGAAACCUCUGCUGGUGCCUGUCUAUCUAACAGGACCUGGGAAGUUUAGAGAGCACAGCGAGUAUUGUAUCCAAACCCCAAACUUGGAGUCCAUUUAAUUAAGGUUUGUUCUGAGAGUCGAUGUUAACAACAUUCUCUGUUGAUGUUUGCAGAGCUGAAGCUUCUCGGCUUUGAAGGAUCAACAAAUAUAUGAGAUUUCUGUAACUCCAACACCUGUCAGACAUGUUUGUUCUCUUCAUGACCAGAAUAUUUAAUAAAGCAGAGUCCUGAGUUGA